UUGAAAGACACGAGCAGCACAAAGAGCAGGCAUACGGAUUCUACGACCACGGCCAUCGACUUUUUUAUGACGGUCUUUAUUAGAGGUACGUUUAGGAGCCAAUUGCUUGUUGUUGAUGUUGUUGUUGCUGUUGCUGUUGUUUUGAUCUUUGUUUGAAAUAAUGAGAGUGAAGUCUUUGAUAUCUGAAGAAGUUGUAGGUAAUGGAGGUGUUGUUAAUGGAGAUGAAGAAGUUGCAGGAGAAGGAAGUAAUGGGUGAUGCUUGUUGUUGUUGUUGUUGUUUUGGUCUGCCAUGUCUGUGUGUGGGGAUGGGGAGGACCCAAAAAGAAAAGUGGGUUCCUCUUUGUG
This 345-nucleotide long non-coding RNA is filed under the name Cucumis sativus (cucumber). RNAcentral describes it as "long non-coding RNA (CSAT_LNC002232)". Lineage: Eukaryota; Viridiplantae; Streptophyta; Magnoliopsida; Cucurbitales; Cucurbitaceae. The record is from RNAcentral.